AUGGCGGCGGUGCAUGCAAACUCCGGCGGCGAUUCAGGCAUACCUCCGGGCGGCAGCGCGACGCAACAGCCUUCUCGGUCCGAAUCUUAUCCUUCCGCGGGCGGCGCGCAGCAGAGGUUGGAUUGAAUUGAUGACCCAAAGUGGUCAAUUUGGUUCCAUUUCAAUGCCAUAGAAUCUGUGGUUCGAAAUAUAUACCAGUCAGACAUAUCAUAUUUGACAAUGCUUUCUCUUAUUGAGAGUGAGAGCUUUGUGGCUGAUGAUUAUAUGUACUAUGUAUUUGAUGAGGAGAAAGGAUUAGAAGGUUUAGAUAAAAUAUGUUGUGAAGAUGAUGUGCAGCAGAUGUUGGCACACUCUCAUAAUGAAAAGUUUCUGAACAUAAGAGUAGUGGGAGUUCUUGAGGAAUGUAAUGCAGAUGAAAAUCAUGAAAACAGAGAUAGUUAUUUUGCUGAACAUUGCAUUAACACUCAACAAAGUUGCACUAAUUUGGUGGAUAUAAGCAUGGACAGAAAGGAAGAGCUGAAGAAAAGCAUGGUGCAGAGAGAGGCUGACUUUAACUAUUUUGAAGGUGACACUGAUGUGUCAGAAUUUGUUUCGGAUGAUGAAGCUGCAAAUUUAGGUUCAGAUGGGAACAAUGUGGAUUUUCGUUCAGAGUAUUCAUCUGAAGAUGAAGUUGCAAAACAAGAUACAAUAGUGGUACAGAAACUAAAGGUAGUGAGAAAACCUGGUCCAACCAGUAGAUCCCACCAUGAGGUUGAGAAAAUGGAGAAAGCAGAUUGGUUCCCUGAAGCAGAUGAAAAAUGUUUCCCUCGUGAUUAUGGCAUCAGUGCUGAAGAAGAUGAGCCUGAAGGAUCCUAUAAACUACCAAGUGAUAGGAAGAGAAUGAAUAAGAAGUUGAAAGACAGGAUAUGGUAUGAUCACAAACUUCAAGCACUAGUAGAACAGUUCUAUAAGGGCUUGUGCUUCACCACUUUGUAUGAGUUCAGAGAUGCACUUAGGGAUUUUCACAUUAGGACUUUGAGAAAUUUUCAGUACCACAGAAAUGCCCCAGAUAGGAUUAUUGUUUGGUGCUCAGAGAGAGCCGCCCAGGGAUGUGAUUUUUAUAUAUGUGCCUCUAAGUUAGCUCAUGAAAAAACAUUCUGCAUCAAGAAGUGUGAUAUGUUGCACACUUGUGGAGCAUGUGCAGAGUCCACAAAGGUUACUACUAAGUGGAUGUCAAGGUCAGUAGAGGCAGCAUUGAGAGAAGACAUUAGAUCUCCUGUGGAUGCAUUAAUUAAGAAGACCAGGACUAAGUUUUCAGUGGAUGUAUCGAGAAGUGUGGCAUAUAGGGCAAGGAGGAAGGCUCUUGAUGUAGUUCAAGGUGACCACAAGCAGCAGUACUUGAGGCUCAGGGAUUAUCUUCAAGCAGUUCUUGACACAAACCCAGGUAGCAGGUGUAUAGUAACAACAUUUGAAGAUCCAGAGAACCCAGCACCUACUCCUAGAUUCAAGUAUAUGUUCUAUUGUUUAGCAGCUUCAAAGGAAGGUUUCCUUAAUGGUUGCAGACCAUUUAUAGGUCUUGAUGGAUGCUUCAUCAAGUUAACCACUGGACAGCAAAUUCUUGCAGCCACAGGAAGGGAUGGAAACAACAAUAUUUAUCCUAUAGCUUUUGGUGUGGUUGAUAAGGAAGAUGGUGAAAGUUGGAAUUGGGUUUUAACUCAAUUGAGAUGUUGCAUUGGCAGUGGCAACAAAUUUGGAACAUACACUAUCAUGUCUGACAGGCAAAAGGGCUUGCUUAAGGCAAUAAAUGAGGUAUUCCCUGAUUCACCUCAAAGGUAUUGUCUUAGGCACAUAUAUGCAAAUUUUCAAUCUGCUGGAUUUAGAGGCCAGGAACUAAAGAAGUGUAUUGACAAGGCUAGCUACUCCUACACUAAACAUGGGCAUGAACUAGGCAUGGUAGAGCUGAAAGCACAGUCUGAGGAUGCUUGGAAAUGGCUCAAGAAAAUUGAGAAAAACAGGGCAGUCUAUGCACCUGCUCCAUGUGCUCCAGUACAAACUCCAAGAGCACCAGCCCCUAGUGCAAGAGCACCAGCUCCUGCUGCAUCAGCACCAGCACCACAUGCAAGAGCACCAGCUCCUGCUGCAUCUGCACCAGCUCCUACUACAAUAGCUAAAAGGGGUAGGCCUGCAGGUGGAGGGAGAGGCAAGGGAUUCAGUGCACCAAUAUCUGUUGCUGCAACUUCAGAUGUUUUGGCUGGUAACAAAAGGAAGAGGUUUGCAAGCAGCAGAUUGAGGGGUUAUUUCUAUGCAAGUGUGAAGGAUGCAGUUCAGGAGAUGCACCAACCGUAA
This 2325-nucleotide ribosomal RNA is filed under the name Triticum aestivum (bread wheat). Its description in RNAcentral is "partial small subunit ribosomal RNA". Lineage: Eukaryota; Viridiplantae; Streptophyta; Magnoliopsida; Poales; Poaceae. The record is from RNAcentral.